GCCGAUGUAGCUCAGCUGGGUAGAGCGGCGCAUUCGUAAUGCGUAGGUCUGGGGUUCAAAUCCCCACAUUGGCACCA
Molecule: transfer RNA, 77 nt
Filed under: Rickettsia amblyommatis
Lineage: Bacteria; Pseudomonadati; Pseudomonadota; Alphaproteobacteria; Rickettsiales; Rickettsiaceae
Also listed under: 2 other names
Description: tRNA-Thr
Rfam family: tRNA
About the family: Transfer RNA (tRNA) molecules are approximately 80 nucleotides in length. Their secondary structure includes four short double-helical elements and three loops (D, anti-codon, and T loops).
Source: RNAcentral